This is a long non-coding RNA of Dreissena polymorpha, 885 nucleotides long. RefSeq lists it as uncharacterized. The transcript is spliced from 2 exons. Lineage: Eukaryota; Metazoa; Mollusca; Bivalvia; Myida; Dreissenidae. The record is from RefSeq and is a predicted model, not a curated record.
UAAAACUACUUUGCCUUAUUUUUCCUGUUUGGAUAUCUUGCUGAGUUCAAGCAAAAUCAAGUGUUCAGCUGAAAACACAAAAAUGAUAAUAAUAUUAUGCUUUCUUUGCUGGAGGAAUGUUGUUGUUAUAGACCCUGCAUGAAAAACACCAGGCAAUCUGUAUUUAAGUGACCUCAUUAUCACUAUUAUUAUGCGUAAACCUAAGCGUGCAUUUGUAGGCGGUGUCGAAAUGGGUCUAUAGCUCUGUCUGAACUGUCGUCCAAUUGGUUUACAGGUCCGGCUGAAGUGACAGGCCAUCAAAAACUGUACAGCAUGACUGAUUCGGAGACAGCCCUCAACACUCGCCCAGUCGUGUCGAGAGGAUCGGUGUCUUUGUAGAUUACACGGAAUCGAGCACCCGGGCCAGGCUGACACUUUCCGGAGCCUGUCCGAGACGGAACUCGAGCCUAGGAAUCAUAGGUCCAGGUGUGGCAAAAGACUUAAAGCUCAUGUCUGACGAUCACUUUUUUUGAGUCAGGAAUUCAAGUGUGUUGUUUUUCCACGCAAGCAAGCCCUUUUGUUGGGUGAAAUGACAUCAGAAAUUCUGCCUCUACAUGGAUUUUACCUAAACUGUGCCAAAAAAAAAAGAAAAAAGUUUGUUCGAAACCUGUUCAAAACCUGCUUUGAAGCACAAAUAUUGCCAUUGAUGAUUUUUGUCACUUAUUUAGUCAUCUGUUACAUCAACUUUGCCUAUGAGAAUCGAAAGUGAUGACUUGUAUGAAGUCUAAGUGCUGCAUGUAUGAUGAAACCAAGUUUGGCUUUUCUACCAUAAUUCUUGACGCGAAACGCUGUUACGCAUGACGCUUUCAACGGCAAUUUUUAUGAAUAAAUCUGUGUGUCAUUGUA